CUCAAAUGAAUUGACGGGGGCCCGCACAAGCGGUGGAGCAUGUGGUUUAAUUCGAUGCAACGCGAAGAACCUUACCUGGUCUUGACAUCCACAGAACUUUCCAGAGAUGGAUUGGUGCCUUCGGGAACUGUGAGACAGGUGCUGCAUGGCUGUCGUCAGCUCGUGUUGUGAAAUGUUGGGUUAAGUCCCGCAACGAGCGCAACCCUUAUCCUUUGUUGCCAGCGGUUAGGCCGGGAACUCAAAGGAGACUGCCAGUGAUAAACUGGAGGAAGGUGGGAUGACGUCAAGUCAUCAUGGCCCUUACGACCAGGGCUACACACGUGCUAC
Molecule: ribosomal RNA, 327 nt
Filed under: Klebsiella pneumoniae
Lineage: Bacteria; Pseudomonadati; Pseudomonadota; Gammaproteobacteria; Enterobacterales; Enterobacteriaceae
Description: bacterial SSU rRNA
Rfam family: Bacterial small subunit ribosomal RNA
Source: RNAcentral